AGAGUUUGAUCAUGGCUCAGAAUCAACGCUGGCGGCGCGCCUAACACAUGCAAGUCGAACGAGAAAGUGGAGCAAUCCAUGAGUACAGUGGCGUACGGGUGAGUAACACGUGGGUGAUCUACCUCUUAGUGAGGAAUAACCCUGGGAAACCGGGGCUAAUACCGCAUAAGCCUUAGCAGGGAAAGUCGAAAGACGCUGAGAGAGGAGCCCGCGGCCGAUUAGCUAGUUGGUGAGGUAAAAGCCCACCAAGGCAGAGAUCGGUAGCCGGCCUGAGAGGGCACACGGCCACACUGGCACUGAAACACGGGCCAGACUCCUACGGGAGGCAGCAGUGGGGAAUCUUGCACAAUGGGGGAAACCCUGAUGCAGCGACGCCGCGUGAGCGAUGAAGCCCUUCGGGGUGUAAAGCUCUUUCGUCAGGGAAGAUAGUGACGGUACCUGGAGAAGCAGCUGCGGCUAACUACGUGCCAGCAGCCGCGGUAAUACGUAGGCAGCAAGCGUUGUUCGGAGUUACUGGGCGUAAAGGGUGUGUAGGCGGUUCUUUAAGUUUGGUGUGAAAUCUCCCGGCUCAACCGGGAGGGUGCGCCGAAUACUGAGGGACUAGAGUGCGGGAGAGGAAAGUGGAAUUCCUGGUGUAGCGGUGAAAUGCGUAGAUAUCAGGAGGAACACCGGUGGUGUAGACGGCUUUCUGGACCGUAACUGACGCUGAGACACGAAAGCGUGGGUAGCAAACAGGAUUAGAUACCCUAGUAGUCC
Molecule: ribosomal RNA, 756 nt
Filed under: uncultured bacterium
Lineage: Bacteria
Description: bacterial SSU rRNA
Rfam family: Bacterial small subunit ribosomal RNA
Source: RNAcentral